RNAcentral lists this unclassified non-coding RNA (395 nucleotides) under soil metagenome. RNAcentral's name for it is "partial contains 5.8S ribosomal RNA, internal transcribed spacer 2, and large subunit ribosomal RNA". The stretch from base 1 to 122 matches the Rfam family "5.8S ribosomal RNA", at positions 35 to 154 of the family's 154-position model. The record is from RNAcentral.
GAUGAAGAACGCAGCGAAAUGCGAUACUUGGUGUGAAUUACAGAAUCCCGUGAACCAUCGAGUCUUUGAACGCAAGUUGCGCCCGAAGCCAUCAGGUUGAGGGCACGUCUGCCUGGGCGUCACAUAUCGUUGCCCAAUGCCUAUUGCAGUGCAAUAGGAAUUUCUAGGGCGAAUGAUGGCUUCCCGUGAGCGUUGUUGCCUCGCGGUUGGUUGAAAAUCGAGUCCUUGAUAGGGUGUGCCAUGGUAGAUGGUGGUCGAGUUAGAACGAUACCGAUCAUGUGCAUGCUCCCCAAAAUAUGGCCUCUAUGACCCACACGCGUCUUUUGACGCUCAUGACGAGACCUCAGGUCAGGCGGGGCUACCCGCUGAAUUUAAGCAUAUCAAUAAGCGGAGGA